This 504-nucleotide ribosomal RNA is filed under the name uncultured bacterium. Its description in RNAcentral is "partial 16S ribosomal RNA". It matches the Rfam family "Bacterial small subunit ribosomal RNA", at positions 30 to 523 of the family's 1533-position model. The record is from RNAcentral.
AUUGAACGCUGGCGGCAGGCCUAACACAUGCAAGUCGAACGGUAGCACAGAGAGCUUGCUCUUGGGUGACGAGUGGCGGACGGGUGAGUAAUGUCUGGGAAACUGCCCGAUGGAGGGGGAUAACUACUGGAAACGGUAGCUAAUACCGCAUAACGUCUUCGGACCAAAGUGGGGGACCUUCGGGCCUCACACCAUCGGAUGUGCCCAGAUGGGAUUAGCUAGUAGGUGGGGUAACGGCUCACCUAGGCGACGAUCCCUAGCUGGUCGGAGAGGAUGAGCAGCCACACUGGAACGGAGGCACGGUCCAGACUCCUACGGGUGGCAGCAGUGGGGAAUAUUGCACAAUGGGCGCAAGCCUGAUGCAGCCAUGCCGCGUGUAUGAAGAAGGCCUUCGGGUUGUAAAGUACUUUCAGUGGGGAGGAAGGCGAUGGAGUUAAUAGCUUCGUCGAUUGACGUUACCCGCAGAAGAAGCACCGGCUAACUCCGUGCCAGCCGCCGCAGUAA